This 253-nucleotide ribosomal RNA is filed under the name uncultured bacterium. RNAcentral describes it as "partial 16S ribosomal RNA". It matches the Rfam family "Bacterial small subunit ribosomal RNA", at positions 524 to 776 of the family's 1533-position model. The record is from RNAcentral.
UACGUAGGGUGCGAGCGUUGUCCGGAAUUAUUGGGCGUAAAGGGCUCGUAGGCGGUUUGUCACGUCGGGAGUGAAAACACCGGGCUUAACUCGGUGCUUGCUUCCGAUACGGGCAGACUAGAGGCAUGCAGGGGAGAACGGAAUUCCUGGUGUAGCGGUGAAAUGCGCAGAUAUCAGGAGGAACACCGGUGGCGAAGGCGGUCUGCUGGGCAGUUGCUGACACUGAGGCGCGACAGCGUGGGGAGCAAACAGG